GAGACUUUCUUAGUACCGCAGCUAACGCGUGAAGUUCGCCGCCUGGGGAGUACGGUCGCAAGAUUAAAACUCAAAGGAAUUGACGGGGACCCGCACAAGCGGUGGAUGAUGUGGAUUAAUUCGAUGCAACGCGAAAAACCUUACCUACCCUUGACAUGUCAGGAAGUCUGCUGAGAGGUGGAUGUGCCCGAAAGGGAACCUGAACACAGGUGCUGCAUGGCUGUCGUCAGCUCGUGUCGUGAGAUGUUGGUUAAGUCCCGCAACGAGCGCAACCCUUGUCAUUAAUUGCCAUCAUUCAGUUGGGCACUUUAAUGAGACUGCCGGUGACAAACCGGAGGAAGGUGGGGAUGACGUCAAGUCCUCAUGGCCCUUAUGGGUAGGGCUUCACACGUCAUACAAUGGUCGGUACAGAGGGUUGCCAACCGCGAGGGGGAGCCAAUCCCACAAAGCCGAUCGUAGUCCGGAUCGCAGUCUGCAACUCGACUGCGUGAAGUCGGAAUCGCUAGUAAUCGUGGA
Molecule: ribosomal RNA, 516 nt
Filed under: uncultured bacterium
Lineage: Bacteria
Description: bacterial SSU rRNA
Rfam family: Bacterial small subunit ribosomal RNA
Source: RNAcentral